AUCUUUUCAGGGGCUGGGUAGUCUGAGCCCAACACAGAGAGGACUCAUGCUGCAGCCUCAGCACAUUUGGUGAACUGCAUGGAGUUUAGAGAAGAAGAUAAAUCAAGGACACCCAGUGUGUUGUGGUAUGUAAAAGACCCUUCCACCACAUGAAGAUGCAGCAAGAGGCACCAUCAUGGCAGCAGAAAGCAAGCCCUCACCAGACACCAAAUCUGCUGAUAACUUGGUCUUGGACUUCCCAGCCUCCAGAACUGUGAGAAAUAAAUUUCUGUUAUUUAUAAAUUAC
This 286-nucleotide long non-coding RNA is filed under the name Homo sapiens (human). RNAcentral describes it as "HSALNT0208658". Lineage: Eukaryota; Metazoa; Chordata; Mammalia; Primates; Hominidae. The record is from RNAcentral.